CAAAAGCCAAACAUCUGUAUUAGGGAGUUUAGAUGUUGGACUUUUGUUCAUUGCUCAAAACAGCUGUCUCUGCUUUGUGUUGCUUAAAUAAUCUAAGAUUAAAUAUUUCAAUGGGAUAUGGCUAGGGAAAAAUGCAGUGAGACCAAUGAUAUUGGCCUAUCUGUUGCUGUUAGUGACAUUGAAUGAUGGCAUAUGAUACAUGGAAUCUGACCUCCAAAUACCCAUAAACAUUACAGCAGAAGUGGGAAACUCAUUGUGAGGCAUUAUCUUAAUAUCUUAAUGGCUUGGGUAGUAUGCUUCUAGUCCAUGGCCUUUUAACCAGAGUUUAGAAAUAAAUCAUUAAUUUUCAUUUGUUAACAAUUUUCUUUUUGGGGUGUGUGUGUGGCUAUUGCGGCCAAAAGGCAGUAAUGUAACAUUUUCAUCAUAUGUAAAUUUUUCUAUGUAACGUUACCAAGUCUAAUCAUUGUUAAUCAUCAUUAUGCCUUCUGCCUAAGAAGACAUAAGUUUUGGUUGUUCUUCUUUUGGUGUUAAAGGCUAUUUGACAUGCUGAUUCCUAAUUGAAAAGGUGUUGCAUGUGAUUGUAUUAAUUCAUAAAAGUCAACCAAUAAUCAGGACUGAAGAGCAAGAUAGAUCCAUGAUCUUGGAUGCACCACAUGGGAGGAAAUACGACAGAAGGAAUGGCAAAAGCAGUUUCUGCACAUGAGCCAUUGCUUGAGGAUAAUUUCUGGGAAUUAUGCCAUUGAGCCAUGUCAACUGGCUUUGUGAAUCAUCUUGGCUGUUUCCUUCCUGCAGUUCUCCUUGGAUAUCUUCUGUUGCACAUAAACAUGGCUACAGUAAAAAUAUACAAAUUUGAACCAAUAGCUUUAGUGUCUUCUGUUCCUGAAGUAUCUUCAGUGUCUUCUGUUCAGUCAGUGUUCAAAGGUCACGUAAUUACCAUCAGUUGGCAUACUUCAAGGACACUCAAAACAAUGUCACAAAAAUAUUUGUGUUGACAGUGAACAUUGCCAAAAACAGUCCACACAAUGUUUAUCUCUGAGCACCACACAAGGUUGAGUUUCAGAAGACAUAUGCCAACUAUCUUUUUAUUUUUAUUUUUAUUCUUUGUCUACUUAGUAUACAAAGCACAGGGGCUGACUAGUUUGUUUCUUUGAAGUUGCUUUCUUCCAAAUAUAUUGCAAAUGUAAACUACUUUUUAGUUAUGCUUGUUAGCUGUGCAGUGUGAGGCCUUUGAUGUCAGUUUGCCUGUAGUACAUAAAAACCAUUUUACAUUGCAACAUCAGAAUAAAACGUGGUGCAGAUUUUAUUUUAUAGGCUGC
This 1316-nucleotide long non-coding RNA is filed under the name Pogona vitticeps (central bearded dragon). RNAcentral describes it as "lncRNA (ENSPVIG00000019936.1)". The record is from RNAcentral. Lineage: Eukaryota; Metazoa; Chordata; Lepidosauria; Squamata; Agamidae.